Molecule: long non-coding RNA, 2297 nt
Organism: Oncorhynchus keta (chum salmon)
Lineage: Eukaryota; Metazoa; Chordata; Actinopteri; Salmoniformes; Salmonidae
Exons: 4
Source: RefSeq, a predicted model, not a curated record
AUCAAAAUCAGUCAUUUAUUCACACUUAAGUUAAAUGGCACAAACAUAAUUCCAUGAACGUUACACCAGUUCAGACAAACCUCCAGACAGUCGACACAACAAGCUCUAUCACAACUAGGCCUUGGUUAGCUUCCCGGGAAGGCUUCAUUACAAAAGUCAAGUAUUAUGAAAGACAUGCUCUAGCCCAGGGCUCUCCAACCCUGUUCCUGGAGAACUACCAUCCUAUAGGUUCACUCCAACCCUGUUCCUGGAGAACUACCAUCCUAUAGGUUCACUCCAACCCUGUUCCUGGAGAACUACCAUCCUAUAGGUUCACUCCAACUCUGUUCCUGGAGAACUACCAUCCUAUAGGUUCACUCCAACCCUGUUCCUGGAGAACUACCAUCCUAUAGGUUCACUCCAACCCUGUUCCUGGAGAACUACCAUCCUAUAGGUUCACUCCAACUCUGUUCCUGGAGAACUACCAUCCUAUAGGUCCUCACUCCAACUCUGUUCCUGGAGAACUACCAUCCUAUAGGUUCACUCCAACCCUGUUCCUGGAGAACUACCAUCCUAUAGGUUCACUCCAACCCUGUUCCUGGAGAACUACCAUCCUAUAGGUUCACUCCAACCCUGUUCCUGGAGAACUACCAUCCUAUAGGUUCACUCCAACCCUGUUCCUGGAGAACUACCAUCCUAUAGGUUCACUCCAACCCUGUUCCUGGAGAACUACCAUCCUAUAGGUUCACUCCAACUCUGUUCCUGGAGAACUACCAUCCUAUAGGUUCACUCCAACCCUGUUCCUGGAGAACUACCAUCCUAUAGGUUCACUCCAACUCUGUUCCUGGAGAACUACCAUCCUAUAGGUUCACUCCAACCCUGUUCCUGGAGAACUACCAUCCUAUAGGUUCACUCCAACCCUGUUCCUGGAGAACUACCAUCCAUCCUACCCUGUUCCUGGAGAGCUACUGUGCUGUAGGUCCUCUCUCCAACCCUGUUCCUGGAGAGCUACUGUGCUGUAGGUCCUCUCUCCAACCCUGUUCCUGGAGAGCUACUGUGCUGUAGGUCCUCUCUCCAACCCUGUUCCUGGAGAGCUACUGUGCUGUAGGUCCUCUCUCCAACCCUGUUCCUGGAGAGCUACUGUGCUGUAGGUCCUCUCUCCAACCCUGUUCCUGGAGAGCUACUGUGCUGUAGGUCCUCUCUCCAACCCUGUUCCUGGAGAGCUACUGUGCUGUAGGUCCUCUCUCCAACCCUGUUCCUGGAGAGCUACUGUGCUGUAGGUCCUCUCUCCAACCCUGUUCCUGGAGAGCUACUGUGCUGUAGGUCCUCUCUCCAACCCUGUUCCUGGAGAGCUACUGUGCUGUAGGUCCUCUCUCCAACACUAUUCCUGGAGAGCUACUGUGCUGUAGGUCCUCUCUCCAACACUAUUCCUGGAGAGCUACUGUGCUGUAGGUCCUCUCUCCAACCCUGUUCCUAGAGAGCUACUGUGCUGUAGGUCCUCUCUCCAACACUAUUCCUGGAGAGCUACUGUGCUGUAGGUCCUCUCUCCAACACUAUUCCUGGAGAGCUACUGUGCUGUAGGUCCUCUCUCCAACACUAUUCCUGGAGAGCUACUGUGCUGUAGGUCCUCUCUCCAACACUAUUCCUGGAGAGCUACUGUGCUGUAGGUCCUCUCUCCAACCCUGUUCCUAGAGAGCUACUGUGCUGUAGGUCCUCUCUCCAACACUAUUCCUGGAGAGCUACUGUGCUGUAGGUCCUCUCUCCAACACUAUUCCUGGAGAGCUACUGUGCUGUAGGUCCUCUCUCCAACACUAUUCCUGGAGAGCUACUGUGCUGUAGGUCCUCUCUCCAACACUAUUCCUGGAGAGAUACUGUGCUGUAGGUCCUCUCUCCAACACUAUUCCUGGAGAGCUACUGUGCUGUAGGUCCUCUCUCCAACCCUGUUCCUAGAGAGCUACUGUGCUGUAGGUCCUCUCUCCAACACUAUUCCUGGAGAGCUACUGUGCUGUAGGUCCUCUCUCCAACACUAUUCCUGGAGAGCUACUGUGCUGUAGGUCCUCUCUCCAACACUAUUCCUGGAGAGCUACUGUGCUGUAGGUCCUCUCUCCAACACUAUUCCUGGAGAGAUACUGUGCUGUAGGUCCUCUCUCCAACACUAAUCUAGCACACCUGAUUCUAAUAAUUAGCUGGUUGAUAAGCUGAAUCAGGUUAGUUACAACUGUGGUUGGAGCGAAACCCUACAGGAUACUAGUUCUCCAGGAACAGGGUAGCCUAAUUGCAAGACCUAUGCUAAAUAGUCAGACAACAAAUGAUGUGAU